This 374-nucleotide ribosomal RNA is filed under the name uncultured eukaryote. RNAcentral describes it as "SSU rRNA". It matches the Rfam family "Eukaryotic small subunit ribosomal RNA", at positions 587 to 972 of the family's 1831-position model. The record is from RNAcentral.
AGCUCCAAUAGCGUAUAUUAAAGUUGUUGCAGUUAAAAAGCUCGUAGUUGGAGUUCAGGGUGAGCUCAAUCGGUCGGCCCAUGGUCAGAACUGGUUGUCUCUCUCUUGUUUGUGAAUCCUUUUCGGAGUUAAUUCUUCGAUAAGGAGUUCACAUCGUUUACCUUGAAAAAUUAGAGUGUUCAAAGCAGGCGUUUGCUUGAAUAUAUUAGCAUGGAAUAAUGGAAUAGGACCCUGGUUCUAUUUUGUUGGUUUUGAGAACCAGAGUAAUGAUUAAUAGGGAUAGUUGGGGGCAUUCAUAUUUCAUUGUCAGAGGUGAAAUUCUUGGAUUUAUGAAAGAUGAACUUCUGCGAAAGCAUUUGCCAAGGAUGUUUUCA